Molecule: microRNA, 20 nt
Filed under: Schistosoma japonicum
Lineage: Eukaryota; Metazoa; Platyhelminthes; Trematoda; Strigeidida; Schistosomatidae
Description: sja-miR-3480-3p
Source: miRBase by way of RNAcentral
AAACAGACAUACCAAUGCAG